RNAcentral lists this ribosomal RNA (191 nucleotides) under Limosilactobacillus mucosae. RNAcentral's name for it is "Lactobacillus mucosae 16S rRNA. Bacterial SSU". It matches the Rfam family "Bacterial small subunit ribosomal RNA", at positions 1 to 159 of the family's 1533-position model. The record is from RNAcentral. Lineage: Bacteria; Bacillati; Bacillota; Bacilli; Lactobacillales; Lactobacillaceae.
UUUUAUAUGAGAGUUUGAUCCUGGCUCAGGAUGAACGCCGGCGGUGUGCCUAAUACAUGCAAGUCGAACGCGUUGGCCCAACUGAUUGAACGUGCUUGCACGGACUUGACGUUGGUUUACCAGCGAGUGGCGGACGGGUGAGUAACACGUAGGUAACCUGCCCCAAAGCGGGGGAUAACAUUUGGAAACAG